AAAUCUCCACAUGUACCACGAAGCAACGGACCGGUAAGGCCUCCACUUGUCACACAACUGGUCCAUCUGCGAGGGCCGGGGCAAGUCCUCGAGGUUGUAGAGUGAGAAAGUCCUCACGUUGGGAACCGGCAGAGUCGCUCCUGCGCUUCCGGUUGCCAGUGGAAACCCUAACGGUGAAAUCAAGGAUUGCAUCGUGGCCG
RNAcentral lists this long non-coding RNA (200 nucleotides) under Glycine max (soybean). RNAcentral describes it as "long non-coding RNA (GMAX_LNC001719)". Lineage: Eukaryota; Viridiplantae; Streptophyta; Magnoliopsida; Fabales; Fabaceae. The record is from RNAcentral.